CCCAGAUGCAGGCAACUGUCUAGGUUAUUGUCCCUAGGCCAGUGUUCAACAGCUGGGAGAAAAGCAGCUAAUAGCUGGCAGCCAUUCCGGAUCUGGUUAAUGCCAAAUUUGUGUUAAUUAUACCAGUGUGCCAACAUA
Molecule: small nucleolar RNA, 138 nt
Organism: Ochotona princeps (American pika)
Lineage: Eukaryota; Metazoa; Chordata; Mammalia; Lagomorpha; Ochotonidae
Gene: SNORA74
Rfam family: Small nucleolar RNA SNORA74
About the family: U19 belongs to the H/ACA class of snoRNAs. snoRNAs bind a number of proteins (including dyskerin, Gar1p and Nop10p in the case of the H/ACA class) to form snoRNP complexes. This class are thought to guide the sites of modification of uridines to pseudouridines by forming direct base pairing interactions with substrate RNAs. Targets may include ribosomal and spliceosomal RNAs but the exact functions of many snoRNAs, including U19, are not confirmed.
Source: Ensembl